Eucalyptus grandis is the source of this 397-nucleotide long non-coding RNA. RefSeq lists it as uncharacterized. The record is from RefSeq and is a predicted model, not a curated record. NCBI's taxonomy places the organism in Eukaryota, Viridiplantae, Streptophyta, Magnoliopsida, Myrtales, Myrtaceae. The transcript has 2 exons.
GGACUUCUGCUGGAUUGCCUAUUCAGCCAGCCUCCAUCUUUCCAGCACAUUUUGCAAUUGCAGAGUUGGAUGCUAUUCGAUCCGUUCUUAACGAGCGAGAGCGUCAUUGAAAGGCUGCAGAAGCAGGAGGAGAAUGUGCUUGGCGAGGUCCAACUUCCAAUAUACGUGUCCAAGGUAAAGCUGAACGGGCUCGUUUGUCUCGAUUACAGCAACCAAAGAAAUGAAGCGGUCCAUCAAUUCCUUCCAUUUGAUUUGACUAGUUAAGGUUUCAGGGAUGAUUUAAGCUGUAAUCAAUCUUUCGAGCGGUCCGUUCAUGCUGGAUGACCAUGUAUUGCCACAAAUCUCUGUGUGAUAUUUUUCCACGAUUACCUUAAAUCUGAGUUUUAUUCCAUCUUUA